RNAcentral lists this transfer RNA (73 nucleotides) under Candidatus Buchananbacteria bacterium. RNAcentral describes it as "tRNA-Thr". It matches the Rfam family "tRNA". From Rfam's summary of the family: Transfer RNA (tRNA) molecules are approximately 80 nucleotides in length. Their secondary structure includes four short double-helical elements and three loops (D, anti-codon, and T loops). Lineage: Bacteria; Candidatus Buchananiibacteriota. The record is from RNAcentral.
GCCGUUGUAGCUCAGUUGGUAGAGCGCAUCCAUGGUAAGGAUGAGGUCUCGGGUUCGAAUCCCGACAACGGCU